CUGUUUGGUAAAUGCUUGUGUAAAUCGGUCGGCUUAACCGACCGAACUGCGGGUAGACUGCCAGACUUGGGACCGGGAGAGUCACGAAGUACUCCGGGGGUAGAGGUGAAAUUCUGUAAUCCUCGGGGGACUACCGGUGGCGAAGGCGUCGUGAUAGAACGGCUCCGACGGUGAGGGACGAAGCCCUGGGGCGCAAACCGGAUUAGAUACCCGGGUAGUCCAGGGUGUAAACGCUGCGGUCUUGGUGUCGGGAGUCCUACGGGGGCACCCGGUGCCGGAGAGAAGUUGUUAAGACCGCUGCCUGGGGA
Molecule: ribosomal RNA, 308 nt
Filed under: uncultured archaeon
Lineage: Archaea
Description: bacterial SSU rRNA
Rfam family: Archaeal small subunit ribosomal RNA
Source: RNAcentral